AUGUACCCUGCCUGUGCAGAAACAGUUGAAUAUCUCAGUUCAGCUGCAAUGGUAGCGAUGGAGACAUCAUACAGUGUGGUUAUCAUUUGGCCAUUUUGGUUCAUCUUCAGUACGAUAUGUAAUAUUGCCAAUUCAGUCUUGUACCCUGUAAUUUGGUUCAUGGGAGAGAUACUAGCCGCACCUUUCCGACUUAUCACUGCACUAGCAAGUUUUGUAGCACACUUCUUUGAUGAUAUUGUUGAUGUUUUAGACAGACCUGGUCAACAUUAA
This 270-nucleotide ribosomal RNA is filed under the name Triticum aestivum (bread wheat). RNAcentral's name for it is "partial small subunit ribosomal RNA". Lineage: Eukaryota; Viridiplantae; Streptophyta; Magnoliopsida; Poales; Poaceae. The record is from RNAcentral.